AUUGAACGCUGGCGGAAUGCUUUACACAUGCAAGUCGAACGGCAGCACGGACUUCGGUCUGGUGGCGAGUGGCGAACGGGUGAGUAAUGUAUCGGAACGUGCCCAGUCGUGGGGGAUAACGUAGUGAAAAUUACGCUAAUACCGCAUACGAUCUAUGGAUGAAAGCGGGGGAUCGCAAGACCUCGCGCGAUUGGAGCGGCCGAUAUCAGAUUAGGUAGGUGGUGGGGUAAAGGCCCACCAAGCCAACGAUCUGUAGCUGGUCUGAGAGGACGACGAGACGCACUGGCACUGAGACACGGUCCAGACUCCUACGGGAGGCAGCAGUGGGGAAUUUUGGACAAUGGGCGAAAGCCUGAUCCAGCCAUUCCGCGUGCAGGAUGAAGGCCCUCGGGUUGUAAACUGCUUUUGUACAGAACGAAAAGGUUUCUACUAAUACUAGGAGCUCAUGACGGUACUGUAAGAAUAAGCACCGGCUAACUACGUGCCAGCAGCCGCAGUAA
Molecule: ribosomal RNA, 500 nt
Filed under: uncultured bacterium
Lineage: Bacteria
Description: partial 16S ribosomal RNA
Rfam family: Bacterial small subunit ribosomal RNA
Source: RNAcentral